RNAcentral lists this ribosomal RNA (468 nucleotides) under uncultured bacterium. Its description in RNAcentral is "partial 16S ribosomal RNA". It matches the Rfam family "Bacterial small subunit ribosomal RNA", at positions 28 to 507 of the family's 1533-position model. The record is from RNAcentral.
GACGAACGCUGGCGGCGUGCUUAACACAUGCAAGUCGAACGGAAAGGCCCUGCUUUUGUGGGGUGCUCGAGUGGCGAACGGGCGAGUAACACGUGAGUAACCUGCCCUUGACUUUGGGAUAACUUCAGGAAACUGGGGCUAAUACCGGAUAGGAGCUCCUGCUGCAUGGUGGGGGUUGGAAAGUUUCGGCGGUUGGGGAUGGACUCGCGGCUUAUCAGCUUGUUGGUGGGGUAGUGGCUUACCAAGGCUUUGACGGGUAGCCGGCCUGAGAGGGUGACCGGCCACAUUGGGACUGAGAUACGGCCCAGACUCCUACGGGAGGCAGCAGUGGGGAAUAUUGCACAAUGGGCGGAAGCCUGAUGCAGCAACGCCGCGUGCGGGAUGACGGCCUUCGGGUUGUAAACCGCUUCCGCCUGUGACGAAGCGUGAGUGACGGUAAUGGGUAAAGAAGCACCGGCUAACUACGUG